GCCUGAAGUACUGGGCUUCCUCAGAAGGUGGAACUUGAGCUUGGCCCCUAAGUGAGAUCCAGUGCGACAGUGGAGCAUGUGUGCGCAGAGGAGACAGGAACAACAACCGGGAUGUCAUGCGGGCGCACUGGGGCUCCUUGUGGCCCCAGUGCACAGAAUUCUGGUGGACCCACCAUGUGUGGGAGCUCAGUGAGACUCAAAGUAAGUGCAAGGCCCUCCUCACACAUCGUACGCUGAAGGUGGAGCACACUGGGAAAAUGUGCAUGCAUCAAGAAGAAAAAUGAAAACUGAUUUUGUGCAACAUUUCCACUGUUCUUGGAAGAAUGAAAUAAAUGCAUAUGAGCUAUGAAAUAUGGAUUGUAUAAUUCUAGUGAUUCUGCAUAUAAGUCAGAUGAUCUUAUUGAAAAUUGGCAUUGUACAAUAUAAAGAUGAACAGAAGAGUUCAUACUAAUAAUUUAAAAUUUUAAUUCUUCCUUUUUAGAAGAACAUGGGCAGAUUAAAAAUACCACCACACAUCAGGAAAGAAACCAGAAAAGAAAGAAAACAGCUUUCUAUUUUAAUGCUUUUAACAGUACUUAUGUCUGCUUUUUGAAAAGGAGCCCCACAGAUUAAGUACCCAGUCCUGGGCACGGGAAUACCCUGGGAUUGCUUUACAACCUCAAUUAGCUCUCCUCUCCUCCAACUGGUACCCUGAGAAAGACUUGGGUCCAUGCCACCAUCAUCUCUGGCCUGGACUCCUAAUUGGCCUCCCCGCUUCCCUCCUGAUGCUUCCCAGUCCAUUUGUCACUCAGCUGCCCAGAACAACCUAUUCAAAAGGCAGACCUGAUCUUGUUGAUGGUCCCUUCCAUACCCUCCCUGAUUAUAACUCUUCCCACCCCACUCAAAAUAAAUCCAACCAAGGUCUACAAAAUCUACCUCGUCUGCACACCCCACUGGCCUUGCCCUCACUCCAUACCCAGCCCCACUGGCCAACUUGCAGAUAAUCAAAGGUGCCGCAAUCCAUCCGGCCACAAAGCCUAGCACUUGUCCUGUGCCCUCUUUCUGAAACACUCCCCUGUCUCCCCACCUAGUUACUGCCCCUUAGCCCAUUAGAUUCUCCAUGAAGGGUCACUUCCUCAGGGAAGCAGUCUCCUCGCAUUCCCUAUCCACCCCAGGGGUACACUCUCAUAGCUCCCCAGAAUUCCC
RNAcentral lists this long non-coding RNA (1185 nucleotides) under Homo sapiens (human). RNAcentral's name for it is "HSALNT0095633". Lineage: Eukaryota; Metazoa; Chordata; Mammalia; Primates; Hominidae. The record is from RNAcentral.